Molecule: ribosomal RNA, 330 nt
Filed under: Tardigrada environmental sample
Lineage: Eukaryota; Metazoa; Tardigrada
Description: SSU rRNA
Rfam family: Eukaryotic small subunit ribosomal RNA
Source: RNAcentral
GUUUACUUGAUCGUGAUUAUCCUACUCGGAUAACUGUGGAAAUUCUAGAGCUAAUACACGCAAUAAAGCUCCGACCUUACGGGACGAGCGCAUUUAUUAGACCAAAACCAAUCGGGCUUCGGCCUGAGCGGUGGUGACUCUGAAUAACUGAGCUGAUCGCAUGGUCUUUGUACCGGCGACGCAUCUUUCAAGUGUCUGCCUUAUCAACUUUCGAUGGUAGUUUAUGUGCCUACCAUGGUUGUAACGGGUAACGGAGAAUAAGGGUUCGACUCCGGAGAGGGAGCCUGAGAAACGGCUACCACAUCCAAGGAAGGCAGCAGGCGCGCAAAU